This 439-nucleotide ribosomal RNA is filed under the name uncultured bacterium. Its description in RNAcentral is "partial 16S ribosomal RNA". It matches the Rfam family "Bacterial small subunit ribosomal RNA", at positions 339 to 795 of the family's 1533-position model. The record is from RNAcentral.
CUACGGGUUGCUGCAGUGGGGAAUAUUGCACAAUGGGGGAAACCCUGAUGCAGCAACGCCGCGUGAAGGAAGAAGGUUUUCGGAUCGUAAACUUCUAUCAGCAAGGAAGAUAAUGACGGUACUUGACUAAGAAGCCCCGGCUAACUACGUGCCAGCAGCCGCGGUAAUACGUAGGGGGCAAGCGUUAUCCGGAAUUACUGGGUGUAAAGGGAGCGUAGACGGUAAUAUAAGUCAGAUGUGAAAGCCCGAGGCUCAACCUCGGGACUGCAUUUGAAACUGUAUAACUAGAGUACAGGAGAGGAAAGUGGAAUUCCUAGUGUAGCGGUGAAAUGCGUAGAUACUAGGAGGAACACCAGUGGCGAAGGCGACUUUCUGGACUGUAACUGACGUUGAGGCUCGAAAGCGUGGGGAGCGAACAGGAUUAGAUACCCCAGUAGUC